AGUGAACGCUGGCGGUAGGCCUAACACAUGCAAGUCGAACGGCAGCACAGUAAAAGCUUGCUCUUACGGGUGGCGAGUGGAGGACGGGUGUGGAAUACAUCGGACUCUACUUUUUCGUGGGGGCUAACGUAGGGAAACAUACGCUAAUACCGCAUACGACCUAAGGGUGAAAGCAGGGGAUCUUCGAACCUUGCUCGAUUGAAUGACCCGAUGUGGGGUUAGCGAGUUGGCGGGGUAAAGGCCCACCAAGGCGACGAUCCGUAGCUGGUCUGAGAGGGUGACCGGCCACACUGGAACUGAGACACGGCCCAGAUUCCUACGGGAGGAAGCGGUGGGGAAUAUUGGACAAUGGGCGCAAGCCUGCUCCAGACAUACCGCUUGGGGGAAGAAGGCUUUCGGGUUGAAAAGCCUUUUUGUUGGGAAAGAAAGGCAGCAGGUUAAUACCCCGAUGUUCUGACGGUACCCAAAGAAUAAGCACCGGCUAACUUCGUG
This 492-nucleotide ribosomal RNA is filed under the name uncultured bacterium. RNAcentral's name for it is "partial 16S ribosomal RNA". It matches the Rfam family "Bacterial small subunit ribosomal RNA", at positions 29 to 507 of the family's 1533-position model. The record is from RNAcentral.